This 253-nucleotide ribosomal RNA is filed under the name uncultured bacterium. RNAcentral's name for it is "partial 16S ribosomal RNA". It matches the Rfam family "Bacterial small subunit ribosomal RNA", at positions 524 to 776 of the family's 1533-position model. The record is from RNAcentral.
UACGGGGGGGGCAAGCGUUGUUCGGAAUUACUGGGCGUAAAGGGCUCGUAGGCGGCCAACUAAGUCAUACGUGAAAUCCCUCGGCUUAACCGGGGAACUGCGUCUGAUACUGGAUGGCUUGAGUUCGGGAGAGGGAUGCGGAAUUCCAGGUGUAGCGGUGAAAUGCGUAGAUAUCUGGAGGAACAUCAGUGGCGAAAGCGGCUUCCUGGACCAGUACCGACGUUCAGGCACGAAAGCGUGGGGAGCAAACAGG